This 504-nucleotide ribosomal RNA is filed under the name uncultured bacterium. RNAcentral describes it as "bacterial SSU rRNA". It matches the Rfam family "Bacterial small subunit ribosomal RNA", at positions 19 to 518 of the family's 1533-position model. The record is from RNAcentral.
CUGGCUCAGGAUGAACGCUAGCGACAGGCCUAACACAUGCAAGUCAGGGGCAGCACAAGGAGCAAUCUGAGGUGGCGACCGGCGCACGGGUGAGUAACACGUAUGCAACCUGCCUGUAAGCGGGGAAUAACCCGUUGAAAGACGGACUAAUACCGCAUAAUACUAAAUUACUGCAUGGUAAUUUAUUUAAACAUUUAUGGCUUACAGAUGGGCAUGCGCAUGAUUAGCUAGUUGGAGAGGUAACGGCUCCCCAAGGCAACGAUCAUUAGGGGUUCUGAGAGGAAGGUCCCCCCACACUGGUACUGAGACACGGACCAGACUCCUACGGGAGGCAGCAGUGAGGAAUAUUGGUCAAUGGACGAGAGUCUGAACCAGCCAAGUCGCGUGCAGGAAGAAUGUCCUAUGGAUUGUAAACUGCUUUUGCAGGGGAAUAAAGUGCAUCACGUGUGAUGUUUUGUAUGUACUCUGCGAAUAAGGAUCGGCUAACUCCGUGCCAGCCGCCGC